RNAcentral lists this small RNA (476 nucleotides) under Pongo abelii (Sumatran orangutan). RNAcentral's name for it is "processed transcript". The record is from RNAcentral. Lineage: Eukaryota; Metazoa; Chordata; Mammalia; Primates; Hominidae.
UCUUCGCCAGCACGCUGGUCACCACCGUGGAUACGAGGGUGGCCAUGCCAUGUGGGAGAUGGAGUUAUUGCUCAACUCAAAUCACUCUCCACCAUCCAUCUCUAAAACUUUUUUUUUUUUGAGACAGGAUCUCACUCUGUCACCCAGGCUGGGGCACAACGGUGCAAUCUUGGCUCACUGCCACCUCUGCCUCCUGGCUUCAAGCGAUUCUCCCACCUCAGCCCCCAAGUAGCUGGGAUUACAGGCAUACACUACCAUGCCCGGCUAAUUUUUGUACUUUUUGGUAGAGACAGAGUUUCACCAUGUUGGCCAGGCUGGUCUCGAAUUCCUGACCUCAGGUGACCUGCUCUCUCGGCUUCCCAAAUUGCUGGGAUUACAGACGUGAGCCACCACGCCUGGCCCAUUGUUUCACCCAUUUUAGAAUAGGGCAAGCUGAGGCCCAGAGCCAGGCAAGAGCCUGCACCCUUCAUUCUUUG